GGAGGGCCAGCCCCCAAACAAAUCCAAGUGAUGUUUCCUGUCCACCUUUCUCCUGGUGAAGGGUGAGCACAUACUGGGCUCUAAUGCUGGGAAAUGGGCCAGGCAGUGGGUGGUGGACCAGUCCUGCAGGUCCAGGAAGAGUUGGGAGAGCUGAGAGGUGGGCAGCCAGGAGCAGAGAAGAACCUGCCAAGGUCCCUGUGUCCUGGAGAUCUUACUGAUUUUACAGACAGUGGGCAGCCAGAGGGAGUGCAAGGGGUAGUGGGAUCGAGGCAUCAUGGGCGGAAGGGUCAGACCUACUCACGGGGUCUGUACAUGCAAGUGUGCUUAAACUGGUAUCUUUUAAAUUAUAGAUAAGUCCUGGGCUCCACUAAUGCAUUUCACUGUUUAACAGAGUGGAGUCGAUGGAAGUUGACCUUUCUCCUUCCCCAAUGAGAAAAGUAAGUCCAGCAGGCCACCUUGUCUCUCCUGUCCUAAGCCCACAUGCUACUGUCUUCCCUUGUCCUCGGUACUUGUGAAUUGGCCAUGCUUUGAACAGUAGCCUGACUUCUGUCAGAUUGUUGCCAUUUGCUGGCCCCUGGGAGGCGGGGUGAGUGAACUGGGUCCUGAAAGACUUGAGAAUGCAUCUUGUCUGAAUGCCCAGGCCUGUGGUCACCGAGGGGGCGGCCGCAGGGGCUGGGGCUUCACCUGUUUCACACUGCUGGAGAAAAGCGAACCCUGUCAGCCCGGAAGGGAAGCAGGUCAGAAAUCUGAGGACUGAGAAACUGACACGGCUGCGGGUUGGACAGGAACCCUUGGUCAUGCCAGGUGGGCGACACUGCCCCUCGGUCAGAACUGGGUCUCCUGCGCAGCCAGCCAAGUCAGCCAGGCACUAGGCAGUUCAGAGGAGGUGGAAGAGGGCACUAGAGCUGGUGGGACAGUCAGGUCGAAGGUCGAAGGCAGGACACCAUAGGCUGGGGACAGGGAGGGUGCCACUCUGAUGUGUGCUUGUCAGCAUGUGCAGCUUCCUGAGCCCUUUGAGGUGCUGCUUAUCAGCAGGCACCGUCCUACAUACUCUGUGGGUGUGACAGUCCUGGGGGCUUGUUGGUGGGAAAUCACGCCACUUCCAAGGGAGUCACCUGGACCUGCUGUGGAGGAGCCUGGAUUCCAGGAAGGGGGCCUUCGCUUAGUAGGGCACGCGGAGCCACCUGCAGCUCUGGAG
Molecule: long non-coding RNA, 1198 nt
Filed under: Marmota monax (woodchuck)
Lineage: Eukaryota; Metazoa; Chordata; Mammalia; Rodentia; Sciuridae
Source: RNAcentral